Small nuclear RNA from Ochotona curzoniae (black-lipped pika), 106 nucleotides. The record is from RefSeq and is a predicted model, not a curated record. NCBI's taxonomy places the organism in Eukaryota, Metazoa, Chordata, Mammalia, Lagomorpha, Ochotonidae.
GUGCUUAUUUCAGCAGCACAUACGCUAAAAUUGGAAUGAUACAUAGAAGAUUAACACGGCCCCUGCACAAGAUGACAUGCAAAUCUGUAAAGUUUCCUUAAAAAAA